UCAGACACGUGGACCCUGGGCAUAGCUCAUUAAGAAAAUGGAAGCUUUAUCCUAAAUUUGAGUGGCUGCAGAACUGAGGCAACGAACUCCUGGUCUGAAGGAUGCGACAACGCUUCUCCUAGGAACCAGAGCCUCGGGGGAGAGGAGGCGGAGAGCAGCCGCUUCUCCUAACGUCGAUACUGCUUUCCGUAACGCGCCGUGAGCUUCAGGUGGGUCCACAUCGUGCAAAGCAGUCCAAGGGCAGGCUGCCU
This is a long non-coding RNA of Dromaius novaehollandiae (emu), 251 nucleotides long. NCBI's taxonomy places the organism in Eukaryota, Metazoa, Chordata, Aves, Casuariiformes, Dromaiidae. The record is from Ensembl.